UUUUCGCUAUUUCAAUAGUAUAUUUCUUCAGACACGGUUUUUAAAGCAAGAUUCUUAUGAUCCUCUGGCGGGGGCACGCUAGCCCCGGGCGAAGGGGACCAGCGGGACCAUUUCUGGCCACGCCCCGCCAAAGCAACUCAAGGUACGUUCACAAAGGGUGGGAGGUCUGGGGGCCAAAAAAGGCACCCCGGGCUCUCUUUUAAUGAUCCUUCCGCAGGUUCACCUACGGAAA
Molecule: unclassified non-coding RNA, 232 nt
Filed under: uncultured fungus
Lineage: Eukaryota; Fungi
Description: sequence contains ITS1
Source: RNAcentral